CCUACGGGUGGCAGCAGUGAGGAAUAUUGGUCAAUGGACGGAAGUCUGAACCAGCCAAGUCGCGUGAAGGAUGACGGCCCUAUGGGUUGUAAACUUCUUUUAUACGGGAAUAAAGUGAGUCACGUGUGGCUUUUUGCAUGUACCGUAUGAAUAAGGAUCGGCUAACUCCGUGCCAGCAGCCGCGGUAAUACGGAGGAUCCGAGCGUUAUCCGGAUUUAUUGGGUUUAAAGGGAGCGUAGGCUGUUAGUUAAGUCAGUUGUGAAAGGUCGCGGCUUAACCGUGUGACUGCAUUUGAUACUGGCAGCCUUGAGUGCGGUUGCGGUAGGCGGAAUUCGUGGUGUAGCGGUGAAAUGCUUAGAUAUCACGAAGAACUCCGAUUGCGAAGGCAGCCUACUAAACUGCCACUGACGCUGAUGCUCGAAAGUGUGGGUAGCGAACAGGAUUAGAUACCCUGGUAGUC
RNAcentral lists this ribosomal RNA (460 nucleotides) under uncultured bacterium. RNAcentral's name for it is "partial 16S ribosomal RNA". It matches the Rfam family "Bacterial small subunit ribosomal RNA", at positions 338 to 795 of the family's 1533-position model. The record is from RNAcentral.